GAUGAACGCUGGCGGCGUGCCUAAUACAUGCAAGUCGAGCGAACAGACGAGGAGCUUGCUCUUCUGACGUUAGCGACGGACGGGCGAGUAACACAUGGAUAAUCAACCUAUAAGUCUGGGAUAACUUCGGAAAACCAGAGCUAAUACCAGAUAAUAUAUUGAACCGCAUGAUUCAAUAGUGAAGGACGGUUUUGCUGUUAAUAAUAGAUGAUUCCGCGCAGCCUUAGCUAGUUGGUAAGGUAACGGCUAACCAAGGCAACGUAGCGUAGCCGACCUGAUAGGGUGCUAUGCCACACAAGAACUGAGAAACGGUCCAGCAUCCUACAGGAGGAGGCAGUCGGAACUCUUCCACAAUGGGCGGAAGCUUGACCAAGCAAACCCGCGUGUGUGAUGAAGGUCUUCGGGUCGUAAAGCUCUUCUAUUAGGUAAGAACAAUAGUAUCAGUAACUACGUCUGUCCUGACGGUACCCAAAGAGUCAGCAACGGCUAACUCCGUG
Molecule: ribosomal RNA, 497 nt
Filed under: uncultured bacterium
Lineage: Bacteria
Description: partial 16S ribosomal RNA
Rfam family: Bacterial small subunit ribosomal RNA
Source: RNAcentral